Long non-coding RNA from Cebus imitator (Panamanian white-faced capuchin), 647 nucleotides. RefSeq lists it as uncharacterized. The record is from RefSeq and is a predicted model, not a curated record. The transcript has 3 exons. Lineage: Eukaryota; Metazoa; Chordata; Mammalia; Primates; Cebidae.
UCUUGGGAAAUAUCACAGCUGCCGCCAUCAGUUAUAGACAUUCGCAGGCCUCAGAGCAGAUAACGGGGCUGUGUACACAAAAAAAUGUGUCUGCUAGAGGUUCUUGAAGACACACAGCCUCCUCGGGAUGUUCUCCAAAUCCGCAGCAUCUGAAGGAUGUAUGAAACCAGCCUGAAGACAGUUCUUGUAAAAAUGUCCAUGAAACCAUGAAAUCAGCACAGGACCAAUUAGAACUGAGAUAGGAAAAACCACUCAAAGAACUCGAAAGGAUACCAGGCCAGAGAGGAUGGUUUAUGACUUAAUUAGUUGCAUCAACCCAUGUAAGUAAGGACUAUAUCCCUCAGAAAUGGGUGGAAUAGGAAUAAUGCAAAGUUGGUGGAAGGAGAGACAGAGUCAAACAGGGGCAGUGCUCAUCAGGAAGGGCUCUGCAUGGCAACAGUGCGUCGGAUCCACCUGUCAAGUAUAUCCUUAAUUUGAAGGUGGGACUUCCUGAGAUUUCGGUGACUGACACUAAACUCUCAGCGCCUAGAAAGCAACAAUAUAUCUAACUUGUUCACAGGCCCUGAUGUGCUGUAGGCAUUUGAUGAGUGUUUGUGGAAUGAACUCAUUUACUCUUUUAACAUUCAGAUCGCUCAGAUGUACAUAUA